This 236-nucleotide long non-coding RNA is filed under the name Nicotiana benthamiana. Its description in RNAcentral is "long non-coding RNA (NBEN_LNC010079)". The record is from RNAcentral. Lineage: Eukaryota; Viridiplantae; Streptophyta; Magnoliopsida; Solanales; Solanaceae.
GUAAUCUAUUGUAUGAGUCACUCGGAUUCCCUCUCAAAAACUGUAAUGCUUUUUCCUUUGUUCUCCAUGCUUGCAUGUAGCUUAGGUUCACUCCAUGUUCGGAUAACAUGUCAGUUUGUAUGUCCUUUGGCGUGUAAACAGUCAUAGGAUCACAAAACUUUGGAACGACAAUGCUACCAACUACUGUUGCAGUACACUUGCGUUUUAUGAAUGUUUCGUCCAUUCGGCAACAUGUG